RNAcentral lists this ribosomal RNA (292 nucleotides) under uncultured bacterium. RNAcentral's name for it is "partial 16S ribosomal RNA". It matches the Rfam family "Bacterial small subunit ribosomal RNA", at positions 505 to 796 of the family's 1533-position model. The record is from RNAcentral.
GUGCCAGCAGCCGCGGUAAUACGGAGGAUCCAAGCGUUAUCCGGAAUCAUUGGGUUUAAAGGGUCCGUAGGCGGCUUUAUAAGUCAGUGGUGAAAUCUGGCGGCUCAACCGUCAAAUUGCCAUUGAUACUGUAGGGCUUGAAUGUUUGUGAAGUAACUAGAAUAUGUAGUGUAGCGGUGAAAUGCUUAGAUAUUACAUGGAAUACCCAUUGCGAAGGCAGGUUACUAACAAAUGAUUGACGCUGAUGGACGAAAGCGUGGGUAGCGAACAGGAUUAGAUACCCUGGUAGUCC